RNAcentral lists this transfer RNA (73 nucleotides) under Felis catus (domestic cat). It matches the Rfam family "tRNA". From Rfam's summary of the family: Transfer RNA (tRNA) molecules are approximately 80 nucleotides in length. Their secondary structure includes four short double-helical elements and three loops (D, anti-codon, and T loops). Lineage: Eukaryota; Metazoa; Chordata; Mammalia; Carnivora; Felidae. The record is from Rfam by way of RNAcentral.
AUCUGGCUGGCUCAGUUGGUAGAGCGUCUGACUCUUAAUCACAAGGUCGUGAUUUCAAGCCCCGCGUUGGGUG